AUACGUAGGUGGCAAGCGUUAUCCGGAUUUACUGGGUGUAAAGGGCGCGUAGGCGGGGAUGCAAGUCAGAUGUGAAAUCUAUGGGCUUAACCCAUAAACUGCAUUUGAAACUGUAUCUCUUGAGUGUCGGAGAGGUAGAUGGAAUUCCUUGUGUAGCGGUGAAAUGCGUAGAUAUAAGGAAGAACACCAGUGGCGAAGGCGAUCUACUGGACGAUAACUGACGCUGAGGCGCGAAAGCGUGGGGAGCAAACAGGAUUAGAUACCCCGGUAGUCCUGGCAGUAAACGAUGUAUGCUGGGUGUGAGACUAGCGAUAGUUUCGUGCCGAAGUUAACGCGAUAAGCAUACCGCCUGGGGAGUACGGUCGCAAGAUUGAAACUCAAAGGAAUUGACGGGG
Molecule: ribosomal RNA, 395 nt
Filed under: uncultured bacterium
Lineage: Bacteria
Description: partial 16S ribosomal RNA
Rfam family: Bacterial small subunit ribosomal RNA
Source: RNAcentral